RNAcentral lists this long non-coding RNA (1673 nucleotides) under Pan troglodytes (chimpanzee). RNAcentral describes it as "lincRNA". The stretch from base 517 to 621 matches the Rfam family "Maternally expressed 3 conserved region 2". The record is from RNAcentral. Lineage: Eukaryota; Metazoa; Chordata; Mammalia; Primates; Hominidae.
GGAGAGCAGAGAGGGAGCGCGCCUUGGCUCGCUGGCCUUGGCUGCGGCUCCUCGGGAGAGCUGGGGCGCCCACGAGAGGAUCCCUCACCUGGGUCUCUCCUCAGGGAUGACAUCAUCCGUCCACCUCCUUGUCUUCAAGGACCACCUCCUCUCCAUGCUGAGCUGCUGCCAAGGGGCCUGCUGCCCAUCUACACCUCACGAGGGCACUAGGAGCACGGAUUCCUGGAUCCCACCAACAUACAAAGCAGCCACUCACUGACCCCCAGGACCAGGAUGGCAAAGGAUGAAGAGGACCGGAACUGACCAGCCAGCUGUCCCUCUUACCUAAAGACUUAAACCAAUGCCCUAGUGAGGGGGCAUUGGGCAUUAAGCCCUGACCUUUGCUAUGCUCAUACUUUGACUCUAUGAGUACUUUCCUAUAAGUCUUUGCUUGUGUUCACCUGCUAGCAAACUGGAGUGUUUCCCUCCCCAAGGGGGUGUCAGUCUUUGUCGACUGACUCUGUCAUCACCCUUAUGAUGUCCUGAAUGGAAGGAUCCCUUUGGGAAAUUCUCAGGAGGGGGACCUGGGCCAAGGGCUUGGCCAGCAUCCUGCUGGCAACUCCAAGGCCCUGGGUGGGCUUCUGGAAUGAGCAUGCUACUGAAUCACCAAAGGCACGCCCCACCUCUCUGAAGAUCUUCCUAUCCUUUUCUGGGGAAUGGGGUCGAUGAGAGCAACCUCCUAGGGUUGUUGUGAGAAUUAAAUGAGAUAAAAGAGGCCUCAGGCAGGAUCUGGCAUAGAGGAGGUGAUCAGCAAAUGUUUGUUGAAAAGGUUUGACAGGUCAGUCCCUUCCCACCCCUCUUGCUUGUCUUACUUGUCUUAUUUAUUCUCCAACAGCACUCCAGGCAGCCCUUGUCCACGGGCUCUCCUUGCAUCAGCCAAGCUUCUUGAAAGGCCUGUCUACACUUGCUGUCUUCCUUCCUCACCUCCAAUUUCCUCUUCAACCCACUGCUUCCUGACUCGCUCUACUCCGUGGAAGCACGCUCACAAAGGGCUAAUCUCGGGCCUUGUUGAAGGAAGAGGCUGCAGACGUUAAUGAGGUUAGCUGCUGGAUUCCAGUAUUCGUCGCAUAAGGAUCCUUCUUUGUCUGCGAAGGAAAAACACACUGAUUAUCAUAAUGAGGCACGUGGGCCGUGGCCCGGCUGGGUCGGCUGAAGAACUGCGGAUGGAAGCUGCGGAAGAGGCCCUGAUGGGGCCCACCAUCCCGGACCCAAGUCUUCUUCCUGGCGGGCCUCUCGUCUCCUUCCUGGUUUGGGCGGAAGCCAUCACCUGGAUGCCUACGUGGGAAGGGACCUCGAAUGUGGGACCCCAGCCCCUCUCCAGCUCGAAAUCCCUCCACAGCCACGGGGACGCCCUGCACCUAUUCCCACGGGACAGGCUGGACCCAGAGACUCUGGACCCGGGGCCUCCCCUUGAGUAGAGACCCGCCCUCUGACUGAUGGACGCCGCUGACCUGGGGUCAGACCCGUGGGCUGGACCCCUGCCCACCCCGCAGGAACCCUGAGGCCUAGGGGAGCUGUUGAGCCUUCGGUGUCUGCAUGUGGGAAGUGGGCUCCUUCACCUACCUCACAGGGCUGUUGUGAGGGGCGCUGUGAUGCGGUUCCAAAGCACAGGGCUUGGCGCACCCCACUGUGCU